CCCUUAGAUGUUCUGGGCCGCACGCGUGCCACACUGAGUGGAUCAGCGGGUCAGGUUGCGCGAAAGCGUUUCCUAAUCUUUAAAUCCGCUCGUGAUGGGGAUUGACGGUUGCAAUUUUCUGUCAUGAACGAGGAAUACCUUGUAAGCGCGGGUCAUCAUCCCGCGCUGAAUACGUCCCUGCCCUUUGUACACACCGCCCGUCGCUCCUACCGAUUGAGUGGUCCGGUGAGGCUUUGGGAUCUGAGCGGAAAGAGCGUUUCGCUGUUUCUGCUCGGAAAACUCAGUCGAACCUUAUCAUUUAGAGGAAGGAGAAGUCGUAACA
Molecule: ribosomal RNA, 322 nt
Filed under: uncultured eukaryote
Lineage: Eukaryota
Description: partial 18S ribosomal RNA
Rfam family: Eukaryotic small subunit ribosomal RNA
Source: RNAcentral